RNAcentral lists this ribosomal RNA (465 nucleotides) under uncultured bacterium. Its description in RNAcentral is "partial 16S ribosomal RNA". It matches the Rfam family "Bacterial small subunit ribosomal RNA", at positions 338 to 795 of the family's 1533-position model. The record is from RNAcentral.
CCUACGGGAGGCAGCAGUAGGGAAUCUUCCACAAUGGACGAAAGCCUGAUGGAGCAACGCCGCGUGAGUGAAGAAGGGUUUCGGCUCGUAAAGCUCUGUUGGCAGGGAAGAAAGAUAGAGGUAGUAACCGGCCUUGAUUUGACGGUAAUUACGUAGAAAGCCACGGCUAACUACGUGCCAGCAGCCUCGGUAAUACGUAGGUGGCGAGCGUUGUCCGGAUUUAUUGGGCGUAAAGCGAGUGCAGGCGGUUCGAUAAGUCUGAUGUGAAAGCCUUGGGCUCAACCGGAGAAUUGCAUCAGAAACUGUUGAACUUGAGUGCAGGAGAGGAGAGUGGAAGUCCAGGUGUAGCGGUGGAAUGCGUAGAUAUAUGGAAGAACACCAGUGGCGAAGGCGGCUCUCUGGACUGCAACUGACGCUGAGGCUCGAAAGCGUGGGUAGCGAACAGGAUUAGAUACCCGUGUAGUC